GUGAGGAAUUUUCCGCAAUGGGCGAAAGCCUGACGGAGCAAUGCCGCGUGAAGGAUGAAGGCCUAUGGGUUGUAAACUUCUUUUCUCAGAAAAGAAUUAUGACGGUAUCUGAGGAAUAAGCAUCGGCUAACUCUGUGCCAGCAGCCGCGGUAAGAUAGAGGAUGCAAGCGUUAUCCGGAAUGAUUGGGCGUAAAGCGUCUGUAGGUUGUUUAAAAAGUAUUCUGUCAAAGAUUAGGGCUUAACCCUAGAUAGGCAGAAUAAACUUUUAAGCUAGAGUUUGAUAGAGGCAGAGGGAAUUCCAGGUGGAGCGGUGCAAUGCGUAGAUAACGGGAGGAACCCCAAAGGCGAAGGCACUCUGCUGGGCCAAUACUAACACUGAGAGACGAAAGCGAGGGGAGCAAAUGGGAUUAGAUACCCUUAGUCC
This 424-nucleotide ribosomal RNA is filed under the name uncultured bacterium. Its description in RNAcentral is "partial 16S ribosomal RNA". It matches the Rfam family "Bacterial small subunit ribosomal RNA", at positions 354 to 796 of the family's 1533-position model. The record is from RNAcentral.